Molecule: unclassified non-coding RNA, 558 nt
Filed under: Hevea brasiliensis (rubber tree)
Lineage: Eukaryota; Viridiplantae; Streptophyta; Magnoliopsida; Malpighiales; Euphorbiaceae
Source: RNAcentral
UUAAAAAAAAAAAAUCAUCUAUGGUUGAGCGGAUUCCAUGCCCUGCAAAGCGUUAGGCGGUGGCAGGCAACAUCAAUCCUCUAGAUUAAAAAUGUGAUUCAUGUAACCCUAUCGUAGCUUUUGUGCGAUGAACACGACCCAGGCUCAAAUUUGCCUCGGAUUAUAAACAACACAUUAUUUCUUAUUUCGUCAAUAAAAUAUAGUGUUAUGAAAACAAAAUUAGAAUGGAAAUCAAAAUCACACAAAUAUAUUCAGAAAUUGCUGCAAGGUGUCUAUUCUUGAAGCGAGAUUCUGAGUGGGGUGAGGAGGAUGAGCAUCGUUCAUGGCUGACAACAUCAUUCAUGUAAGGCGAGGGGAGUCUCCUCUUGGACCUCUGUAGUGCAGUUCGCAUCGUUGUUGUAGAUGGGAACCCUUGAGGAUUAUGAACUGGAGGCCCACAUUAAUGGUGAAAAGAAAAGAAGUAAGGAGGGGAAUUGGAGGAAAUGCUUGGUGCUCUAUGACUGUUUUAGCAAGGGACACUAAAAUGCAAAAUUUUAAGUAUUUUCUAGUUGGAUUCAA